GAAUUUCGCCAGGGUCGACCUCCUCCCCGGCCCUGACGGAUACGGUCAGCUUUCACCUCCUCCCGAUCGCUGGCCGGCACAAAACGACACCCGCCGCACCUCCUCCCGCGGCGGGUGUUGUCU
This 123-nucleotide small RNA is filed under the name Mesorhizobium alhagi CCNWXJ12-2. RNAcentral describes it as "Alphaproteobacterial ar14". It matches the Rfam family "Alphaproteobacterial ar14". Rfam says of the family: Smr14C2 was renamed NfeR1 (Nodule Formation Efficiency RNA) highly expressed in salt stress and during the symbiotic interaction on legume roots. Lineage: Bacteria; Pseudomonadati; Pseudomonadota; Alphaproteobacteria; Hyphomicrobiales; Phyllobacteriaceae. The record is from Rfam by way of RNAcentral.